RNAcentral lists this ribosomal RNA (447 nucleotides) under uncultured bacterium. RNAcentral's name for it is "partial 16S ribosomal RNA". It matches the Rfam family "Bacterial small subunit ribosomal RNA", at positions 28 to 523 of the family's 1533-position model. The record is from RNAcentral.
GACGAACGUUGGCGGCGUGUUUAAGGCAUGCAAGUCGAGCGCCCCGCAAGGGGAGCGGCAGACGGGUGAGUAACGCGUGGGAAUCUACCCAUCACUACGGAACAACUCCGGGAAACUGGAGCUAAUACCGUAUACGUCCUUCGGGAGAAAGAUUUAUCGGUGAUGGAUGAGCCCGCGUUGGAUUAGCUAGUUGGUGGGGUAAUGGCCUACCAAGGCGACGAUCCAUAGCUGGUCUGAGAGGAUGAUCAGCCACACUGGGACUGAGACACGGCCCAGACUCCUACGGGAGGCAGCAGUGGGGAAUAUUGGACAAUGGGCGAAAGCCUGAUCCAGCCAUGCCGCGUGAGUGAUGACGGCCCUAGGGUUGUAAAGCUCUUUCGCAGGUGAAGAUAAUGACGGUAACCUGAGAAGAAGCCCCGGCUAACUUCGUGCCAGCAGCCGCGGUAA